CCGCCCUGCCACGUUGUUCGUCACGCCACGCCACUCUCUACCACACUGUACAGUACGAAGACGUUGUACUAAGACGUUAUAGCACAGCGCUGACUGAAUUCACGGUGCAAGAGAACUCGACUACACGCGAUCGACGAGCUAGUCGUCGUGGCUGCGGCCGCAGCUAGCAAAUUGUUUCAGUUCAUACUUUUCUAUACGUACCAAUAUGUUGAUAUCCACAGGAAUGGCUAGUCCAGGCCGUUGAAAUUCAUAUCUAAUGAUGAACAGACUGUCAAUCAUCUAAUCAGUGUGAUGAUUGGUUAUUUCAAGUAGACGAUUUGGUGUCUCAGUGCGAUGUGUUCUAAGUAGUAACAUGAUCGGUGAUGCACAUUCCUAUGCUUACUCUGCCAGUUAAGUCACGACACUAUACCCUCACCAUGGCUGGGUAGGAUAACUACCCAGACAGUUUGGCCGAUAAUUACACAUUUUCUCCCUUCAAUCGUCGGAAGCUGCACUUUGAGCCUAGAUCAUUUUAAGGAUGUUUUACCUGUACUGUCAUUGCCCACAACAUUGACCUUUGGACUUUGACUGUUUCGUGUAAUAAUCAAUAAAUUAAUCACGUACAUCAUAAAGACAAAUGAGGAACUGGAGAUUUGUUGGGAUCAUUUUCAUUGAGAGAAACUGCUUUAGAUGUUAACAGCUUUAAAGGAUGGUUUCUACUUCGUUAUUCUUCCUUUUUUCAUGAUUCAUUCUCCCAAGACAGAUUACUUACAAAACAUGCCAAUUUAAUGUUUACAAAACAUUUCACUAGACAAAUUGGUAUGUGAGGAUGAUUUUUGGCAAUUUAUUUCUGGAGUAUGUUGAGAGCUCGUCUGAGAUAUUUCAAUUUUUUCAAAUUUCCUGCUUUCAUCAAAUAACAUCCCAGUUGAGCAACAUCUGAGAACAAUAACAUGAUACCGACAAGUAACAAGUAUGACUAAUUUAUAUGUUCAGUAUUCAACAUGUUCGAAUGGGAAUCAGUAUGUCACGCUCGUAAAGUCGACGUCGAGAGAAAGACAAGAAAUGAGCUCUAGUCACAUUAGGAUGUUUUGGAUGGAGAGAUGAUUUAUGGAUCUCGAAUUUCACAGUCGUUUGUCUACCUUGAUUGCUCAAACAGUGAGCAAUACAAAUAUACGAUAAAUAAUGAUAAUAUAUUAUGAACAACAUAGUGAAUUAAAUUAUUAAAGUAAAGUAAGAUAAAUAGAGAAGUCUCAGUACAAACAGUGAGACAUCUGACAGUUUCAUCAAUGAACACGUGCCAUGUGCAAUAUCAUGAUGAUCUUCUGGGCGAGCAGCAGCUUUCUCAAUGUCAACAGAGUCUCUCAGUCUCUCAGCAUCAGACAGUUUAUUUCACUGGUGUAUUUUGUCUCGAGCAACAGUUACCCAGCAAGUUCAUAGCUAACUUGGAGGCACAACGUCUCUUGAAGACAACAAUCAAUGUCUACCAUAUGUAUUUCUAUGAAGUAGUGUGAAAUGUGUUUUACAAGAUGAGACUGUCGAUAACUUUUCAAGAACUGUACUUUUAGCAGCAGCUGUAGUUACAAACUGUCUAGUAAUAUGGAACAAAUAGAUUGGGUUGUCUCUGUACUUCAGUA
Molecule: long non-coding RNA, 1613 nt
Organism: Corticium candelabrum
Lineage: Eukaryota; Metazoa; Porifera; Homoscleromorpha; Homosclerophorida; Plakinidae
Exons: 2
Source: RefSeq, a predicted model, not a curated record